CUUUAGGGAGCUGUAACCUUAGCGUUAGCCUUUUAAGCUAAAGAAAAUAUUUAUUAUUUCUAAAGA
This 66-nucleotide transfer RNA is filed under the name Glycera tesselata. Its description in RNAcentral is "tRNA-Lys". The record is from RNAcentral. Lineage: Eukaryota; Metazoa; Annelida; Polychaeta; Phyllodocida; Glyceridae.